This is an RNA transcript of Drosophila ficusphila, 5415 nucleotides long. It is a transcript of the gene named neuroglian, with no coding region annotated. The record is from RefSeq and is a predicted model, not a curated record. Lineage: Eukaryota; Metazoa; Arthropoda; Insecta; Diptera; Drosophilidae. The transcript is spliced from 9 exons.
UCUGUUUCGGUCAUUCGAAAAAUUGGUCUCGUUGGCUCUCCGUGUGUGUAUGUCCGCUGAAACUGCGCCAAAAUACCGCGUGCAGCAGCAGCAGCAGCAGCAGAAAAGUAAUAAAAGCUCGGCUUGCAUGCAAUUUUCAUUAGUGGGAAAAUUGCUUGAUAUUUAAGAGACACCCGAGGAACAAACCGAAUCGACCCAGCCAACCAACACAGCAGACACAUUCCAAAAUAAAUUAAUAAUAGAAGGAAAUAAAAGUAAGAACAGAACGAACACACACUCGAGGGCCGAGCGGAGAGCCAAACGACGAAAAUGUGGCGGCAGUCAACGAUGCUGGCCGCGUUGUUAGUGGCUCUUAUAGCGGGCUGUGCAGCAAGCAAAGGCAACCAUCCACCCAGAAUCGUGAAGCAACCGGCACCCGGAGAACUGCUCUUCAAAGUGGCGCAACAAAAUAAGGAGAGCGACAAUCCAUUCAUUAUCGAGUGCGAAGCCGAUGGACAACCCGAACCAGAAUACAGUUGGAUCAAGAACGGCAAGAAGUUCGACUGGCAGGCGUACGACAACCGAAUGCUGCGGCAGCCGGGACGCGGAACCCUGGUGAUCACCAUUCCGAAGGACGAGGACCGUGGCCAUUACCAGUGCUUCGCCUCCAACGAGUUCGGAACAGCCACCUCGAAUUCCGUGUACGUGCGAAAGGCCGAGCUGAAUGCCUUCAAGGACGAGGCGGCCAAGACACUGGAGGCGGUCGAGGGUGAGCCGUUCAUGCUGAAGUGUGCGGCGCCCGAUGGCUUCCCCAGUCCCACCGUCAACUGGAUGAUCCAGACAUCGAUCGACGGCAGCAUCAAGUCGAUCAACAACUCCCGCAUGACCCUCGACCCCGAGGGCAACCUGUGGUUCUCCAAUGUGACCCGCGACGACGCCAGCUCGGACUUCUACUACGCCUGCUCGGCGACGUCGGUGUUCCGCAGCGAGUACAAGAUCGGCAACAAGGUGCUCCUCGACGUCAAGCAGAUGGGCGUCAGCGCCUCCCAGAACAAGCAUCCGCCCAUUCGCCAAUACGUCUCCCGUCGCCAGUCGCUGGCUCUGCGCGGCAAGCGCAUGGAGCUCUUCUGCAUCUACGGUGGAACGCCGCUGCCGCAGACCGUUUGGAGCAAGGACGGCCAGCGGAUACAGUGGAGCGAUCGCAUAACCCAAGGACACUACGGCAAGUCGCUGGUCAUACGACAGACAAACUUCGACGACGCAGGAACGUACACUUGCGACGUUUCGAACGGCGUGGGCAAUGCCCAGUCCUUCUCCAUCAUCCUGAACGUGAACUCCGUGCCGUACUUCACCAAGGAACCGGACUUCGCCACCGCCGCCGAGGACGAGGAGGUGGUCUUCGAGUGUCGCGCCGCCGGUGUUCCCGAGCCGAAGAUCAGUUGGAUACACAACGGCAAGCCCAUCGAGCAGUCGCCACCGAAUCCCCGACGAACGGUGACCGACAACACGAUUCGCAUCAUCAACUUGGUGAAGGGCGAUACUGGCAACUACGGCUGCAACGCCACCAACUCCCUGGGCUACGUGUACAAGGAUGUCUACCUGAAUGUCCAGGCUGAGCCGCCAACGAUCUCGGAGGCGCCCACGGCGGUGUCCAGUGUGGAUGGCCGCAAUGUGACCAUCAAGUGUCGCGUCAACGGUUCCCCCAAGCCGCUGGUCAAGUGGCUGCGUGCCAGCAACUGGCUGACCGGCGGUCGCUACAAUGUCCAGGCCAACGGAGACCUCGAGAUCCAGGACGUAACCUUCUCGGAUGCGGGCAAGUACACGUGCUAUGCCAAGAAUAAGUUUGGUGAAAUCCAGGCCGACGGUUCGCUGGUGGUCAAGGAGCACACCAGGAUCACGCAGGAGCCGCAGAACUACGAAGUGGCCGCUGGACAGUCGGCCACCUUCCGGUGCAACGAAGCCCACGACGACACCCUGGACAUCGAGAUCGAUUGGUGGAAGGACGGACAGUCGAUUGACUUCGAGGCACAGCCACGAUUCGUGAAGACCAACGAUAAUUCACUGACGAUUGCCAAGACCAUGGAGCUGGACUCUGGGGAGUAUACUUGCGUGGCGAGGACUCGCCUGGACGAGGCCACCGCCAGGGCCAACUUGAUUGUGCAGGAUGUGCCGAACGCCCCCAGGCUGUUGGGCAUCACGUGCCAGGCGGACAAGGCGGAGAUCCAGUGGGAACCGCAGGGAGACAACCGCUCACCGAUCCUGCACUACACCAUCCAGUUUAACACCUCGUUCACGCCGGCCUCGUGGGACUCCGCCUACGAGAAGGUGCCCAACACGGACUCCUCCUUCGUGGUCCAGAUGUCCCCGUGGGCCAACUACACGUUCCGUGUGAUCGCCUACAACAAGAUCGGAGCAUCGCCUCCGUCGCCGCACAGCGACAGCUGCACCACCCAGCCGGAUGUGCCGUUCAAGAAUCCCGACAACGUCGUCGGCCAGGGCACCGAGCCCAACAACCUGGUCAUCUCGUGGACCCCCAUGCCGGAGAUCGAGCACAAUGCACCCAACUUCCACUACUACGUGAGCUGGAAGCGGGACAUUCCCGCCGCCGCGUGGGAGAACAACAACAUAUUCGACUGGCGACAGACCAACAUUGUGAUCGCCGAUCAGCCGACGUUCGUGCGCUACCUCAUCAAGGUGGUGGCCAUCAACGAGAAGGGCGAGUCGAAUGUGGCCGCCGAGGAGGUGGUCGGUUACUCCGGGGAGGAUCGUCCGCUGGAUGCGCCCACCAACUUCACCAUGCGACAGAUCACCUCGGCCACCAGCGGCUACAUGGCCUGGACGCCGGUGAGCGAGGAGUCGGUGCGGGGCCACUUCAAGGGCUACAAGAUCCAGACCUGGACGGAGAACGAGGGCGAGGAGGGUCUGCGGGAGAUCCAUGUCAAGGGGGAUACGCACAAUGCUCUGGUCACGCAAUUCAAGCCGGACUCGAAGAACUUUGCCCGCAUCUUGGCCUACAACGGACGAUUCAAUGGACCGCCGAGUGCCGUCAUCGAUUUCGAUACUCCGGAAGGUGUUCCGUCGCCGGUCCAGGGAUUGGAUGCCUAUCCCCUGGGCUCCUCCGCCUUCAUGCUCCACUGGAAGAAGCCGCUCUACCCGAACGGCAAGCUCACUGGCUACAAGAUCUACUACGAGGAGGUCAAGGAGAGCUACGUGGGCGGGCGACUCGAGUACGAUCCCCACAUCACCGAUCCGCGGGUCACACGGAUGAAGAUGGCAGGCCUGAAGCCGAACACCAAGUACCGCAUCUCCAUCGCGGCUACUACCAAAAUGGGAGAGGGAUCCGAACAUUACAUUGAGAAGUCAACGCUGAAGGAUGCCAUCACUGUGGCCCCGUCCACGCCCUCCUUCUCCUGGGAGCAGCUGCCCUCCGACAACGGACUGGCCAAGUUCCGCAUUAACUGGCUGCCAAGCACCGACGGUCAUCCUGGAACUCACUUCUUCACCAUGCACAGGAUCAAGGGCGAGACGCAGUGGAUGCGCGAGAACGAGGAGAAGAACUCGGACUACCAGGAGGUGGGUGGCCUGGAUCCCGACACCGCCUACGAGUUCCGUGUGGUCUCCGUCGACGGUCACUUCAACACGGAGAGCGCCACGCAGGAGAUCGACACGAACAGCGUGGAGGGACCCAUCAAGGUGGCCAACCAGACGGUGGCCAAUGCCGGCUGGUUCAUCGGCAUGAUGCUGGCCCUGGCCUUCAUCAUCCUCCUGUUCAUCAUCAUUUGCAUCGUGAGGCGCAAUCGGGGCGGCAAGUACGAUGUCCACGAUCGCGAGUUGGCCAACGGCCGGCGGGAUUAUCCCGAGGAGGGCGGAUUCCACGAGUACUCGCAACCGUUGGAUAACAAGAGCGCAGGUCGCCAAUCCGUGAGUUCAGCGAACAAGCCAGGAGUUGAAAGCGAUACCGAUUCGAUGGCCGAAUACGGCGAUGGCGACACAGCCGUGGCCACUGCCGCUGCCCGCGCCGCUGCUGCAGCCCGCAGCAAGACGACGUCGCUGCCAACGUCAACGUCCACCCAACAACAACAACAACAACAGCAAUUGCCGUCACUGCCCCAGUUGCCGUCGACGUCGGCGUCAACAGUUCCAUUGCCAUCGACCCAAACGCUCCUCCCGGUCGCUCCCACUUCCAAUCCCACUCCCAUUUCCACCGUCUCCCCGCCGUCCUACGAAUUGUGCAUGGCGGAUGCUGAGCACCGCAAGGCCUAAAAGAGAGUAGAGGAGCUUCCUUCCCCCUUUCUCUCCCCAGUCCGGCGUUGUUGUUGUUAUCCAAUCAGUCAGGCAUGAACGAAGAUGGAUCCUUUAUUGGCCAAUAUGGACGCAAAGGACUUUGAUUAAGUUAGUAAGCAGCGCGCCGCAACAGCAACUCAAAAAAUAUCGAAACCGAGCCCUUUACCCCAAAUAAACAACAAGACCAAACACCAUCACAGCUGAAAAAGAAAAACUUGUGGAAAACUACCCAACUAUCAAUGGGUAUCAACUAACCAUUAUUCAAUUAAGUGCAAAAACGACGAUUAAUUUAACAUAAAUAUAUAAAAUAGAGGUUUUAUAUAUAAUUAUUAAAAUUUUAAAGUGUGUAAAAAAACAAAUGCAAAUGCAAAUCGAAACUGCCAAACAAAAUGAACAACAACAGCAACAACAACGAGGAUGCAGCAAAAAGGCUAUUAACAAAAUAAAAGUAAAAAUCGGUCAUCUGAAGAAGAAGUAGUAAUCGAGAAAGAAAAUGCAUGCCAAUCGAUACGAAUAACGAAAAAAAGAUAUAUCUUUCUGGACAUUAUCGGGCAGCUGCGUGUAAUUUUUUUUUGUUAAGAAAUUUAAGAAACUAUGAGGAAAAGAAGCUCGCUUUUAAAAUCUCUAUAUUGCGCACACGUCUACCUGUCCCACUCUAAACCCUGCACUCUGUAUAUCUCUGUCCCGCUCUAUCCCUGUUUUUACUUGUAAUGCAUAUUAAAUAAGUUAUAAUUUAAUAAUUUUUUUACAAAAUCAACACUCGAAUGUAAAAUCUCCGUUUUAGCUUGGCCGUAAAUGGAAGAGAAGCCCUUUAAGCUUACAUGUUUACUACUUUAUUUAAGCCUAUUGUGUGUAUUUUGUUUUUAUUUCUUUAUUUUAUUUUUUUUAGUUUGUUUAAUGAAUUACAAACAUAUUUUUGCUUUGAUUUUGGACAGUGAAACAGUGUUGUAAAAUGUAAAAAACGUUUCCUGUUUGUUUUCCGGAAACAGCUAAAAGAGAAGUUUCAUUUUUCAGUGUAUUUAAUAAUAUAGAAUGAAUGAAGAGAACAGCAUACUUGUAUGAAAAUAUUAUUUUUCUUGUAUACAUAUGAUGUACUUUCGCAUAUUAAAUUAGAAGGAAAAACAAAUAAAAUAAAGAAAACCGAACCGACAA